AGGGAUAUGGCUCAGUGGUUAAAGCACUUGCCCUGUAAGCAAGAAGACUAGGUUGGUUCCCAGAAUCCAUA
This 71-nucleotide transfer RNA is filed under the name Neotoma lepida (desert woodrat). It matches the Rfam family "tRNA". From Rfam's summary of the family: Transfer RNA (tRNA) molecules are approximately 80 nucleotides in length. Their secondary structure includes four short double-helical elements and three loops (D, anti-codon, and T loops). Further hydrogen bonds mediate the characteristic L-shaped molecular structure. tRNAs have two regions of fundamental functional importance: the anti-codon, which is responsible for specific mRNA codon recognition, and the 3' end, to which the tRNAs corresponding amino acid is attached (by aminoacyl-tRNA synthetases). tRNAs cope with the degeneracy of the genetic code in two manners: having more than one tRNA (with a specific anti-codon) for a particular amino acid; and 'wobble' base-pairing, i.e. permitting non-standard base-pairing at the 3rd anti-codon position. The record is from Rfam by way of RNAcentral. Lineage: Eukaryota; Metazoa; Chordata; Mammalia; Rodentia; Cricetidae.